Molecule: ribosomal RNA, 484 nt
Filed under: uncultured bacterium
Lineage: Bacteria
Description: partial 16S ribosomal RNA
Rfam family: Bacterial small subunit ribosomal RNA
Source: RNAcentral
AUUGAACGCUGGCGGCAGGCCUAACACAUGCAAGUCGAGCGGAUGAAGGGAGCUUGCUCCUGGAUUCAGCGGCGGACGGGUGAGUAAUGCCUAGGAAUUUGCCUGGUAGUGGGGGAUAACGUCCGGAAACGGGCGCUAAUACCGCAUACGUCCUGAGGGAGAAAGUGGGGGAUCUUCGGACCUCACGCUAUCAGAUGAGCCUAGGUCGGAUUAGCUAGUUGGUGGGGUAAAGGCCUACCAAGGCGACGAUCCGUAACUGGUCUGAGAGGAUGAUCAGUCACACUGGAACUGAGACACGGUCCAGACUCCUACGGGAGGCAGCAGUGGGGAAUAUUGGACAAUGAGCGGAAGCCUGAUCCAGCCAUGCCGCGUGUGUGAAGAAGGUCUUCGGAUUGUAAAGCACUUUAAGUUGGGAGGAAGGACAGUAAGUUAAUACCUUGCUGUUUUGACGUUACCAACAGAAUAAGCACCGGCUAACUUCGUG